CAGCCCCUCCCCCAGCGGGAGGCGGCAGCCGCCAAGCUGCUCGCCGCCUCCCUUCGCGAGGGGUCGCUUCGCCCGCCUCUCCCGCGAGCUCGCCCCCACCCCGCGCGCUGGGCCGGUCCUAGGGGGACGCCGGCACCGAACCUACCCCGUCCUGCGUGAGACACUUCCUGCUGCCACAGCCCGGCCGGCCGGGGAGGAGGGCACAGAGAUUUGCCGUGGGCCGUAUGAAAUGAAGCAGUGGGCCAGAUCUGACCUGCAGGCCAUAGGUUCCACACUCCUGGUAUAACAUGAUCCAAUGGCUGGAAGUUGAAGAAUAUCAGGAAUAUCAAGUCUGCUUUGGAGGACUCAGAGGACUGGGAAUUUCCUCUUUACCAAC
Mauremys mutica (yellowpond turtle) is the source of this 376-nucleotide long non-coding RNA. RefSeq lists it as uncharacterized. The transcript is spliced from 3 exons. Lineage: Eukaryota; Metazoa; Chordata; Testudines; Geoemydidae. The record is from RefSeq and is a predicted model, not a curated record.